Molecule: long non-coding RNA, 1037 nt
Organism: Oncorhynchus kisutch (coho salmon)
Lineage: Eukaryota; Metazoa; Chordata; Actinopteri; Salmoniformes; Salmonidae
Exons: 4
Source: RefSeq, a predicted model, not a curated record
CAUGUCAGCAAAUGAUUUGCUGUCUGAACACACAAAAAUCUGAUUUGGACACUUGUAACUUCCUGUUUGGACAGUCCGUAUUCCAAAACAGAUUUGAAAAACAAAACCAGCCUCAGCACUGCGCAGCUGAUUCAAAUGAUCAACUCAUCAUCAAGCUUCAAGUGAUACCUUGCAAUUGGAGAUUCCUUCAAAACAAUUGCUGAUAGUUACAAGGUUGGGUGACAAGGGCCAUCUGGGACUGCCUCCUGGAGGUAUUCAGGCGUGUGAAGGCUACCUGUGUCCUGCAUAACUUCAUGAGAAUGGACAUGAGGACCAGGAGGGGAUAUGCAGCUCACUGCCGUGUGCCAGAGGAGAAGUCAGCUGCUCUGCAGGAGGGGAUCUGCAGCUCACCGCUGUGUGCCAGAGGAGAAGUCAGCUGCUCUGCAGGAUGUUUCAACGAUGGGGUCCAACAACGCAGCAAGAGAGACAAUCCCUGUGUGGGAGAUUUUCACCUCCUACAUCUUCGAAGAGGGUGCUGUUCCCUGGCAACACCCUGGCAAGACUACACUAUGCACAACACAUUUCCUCUAGGUUAUAUCACCUGUGUCGGUGAGCACCUCCUGCAUCUGAACUGGCUGACACAUAGAGGGCACAGCAUGAUCAGAGGCAUGUUUUGAUGUGAGAGAGGAUGCCAACCCCCAGUCCCGUCAUCGCCACCUCACCCGCUCUUAAGAUAACCUUCGGGCCGACUGGGAGCCCAAGGCUGGUUAAGAGACACCACUAGAGACACUAAUUGUAAAUGUGAUGAACUGAGAGAAUAUUAGGGUAGCACUGUGAUUCAUUAAUCAUAUGCUGUCUUCCCUGCUCCUAUGUUCUUACCUCUUUCCCUUUCUGUCUUUUACACCUCUCUCACCACCACUUUAUUCCUUUGUUUUUAUAUGCACAACAGAUCUGCACAUGAACUUGUAUUUAUAAUAUAAUAUGACAAUUCAAAUAUUUAUAAUGCAUGUAUUAUGUGUUUAUAAUAUUUGGUUAAUUAACUUCUUUCAAUAAAGCAU